UGGGGAAUAUUGGACAAUGGGCGCAAGCCUGAUCCAGCCAUGCCGCGUGAGUGAUGAAGGCCUUAGGGUUGUAAAGCUCUUUCGCCGACGAAGAUAAUGACGGUAGUCGGAGAAGAAGCCCCGGCUAACUUCGUGCCAGCAGCCGCGGUAAUACGAAGGGGGCUAGCGUUGCUCGGAAUCACUGGGCGUAAAGCGCACGUAGGCGGAUCGUUAAGUCAGGGGUGAAAUCCUGGAGCUCAACUCCAGAACUGCCCUUGAUACUGGCGAUCUCGAGUUCGAGAGAGGUUGGUGGAACUCCGAGUGUAGAGGUGAAAUUCGUAGAUAUUCGGAAGAACACCAGUGGCGAAGGCGGCCAACUGGCUCGAUACUGACGCUGAGGUGCGAAAGCGUGGGGAGCAAAACAGGAUUAGAUACCCUGGUAGUCCACGCCGUAAACGAUGGAUGCUAGCCGUUGGGGGGUUUGACCUCUCAGUGGCGCAGCUAACGCCUUAAGCAUCCCGCCUGGGGAGUACGGUCGCAAGAUUAAAACUUAAAUGAAUUGACGGGGUCAUAGCUGUUUCCU
This 562-nucleotide ribosomal RNA is filed under the name uncultured bacterium. RNAcentral describes it as "partial 16S ribosomal RNA". It matches the Rfam family "Bacterial small subunit ribosomal RNA", at positions 355 to 1375 of the family's 1533-position model. The record is from RNAcentral.